CAUUUGGCAGUAAGCCUGAACCAGCCAAGUCGCGUGAGGGAUGAAGGUUCUAUGGAUCGUAAACCGUCUUUUAUAAGGGAAUAAAGUGCGGGACGUGUCCUGUUUUGUAUGUACCUUAUGAAUAAGGAUCGGCUAACUCCAUGCCAGCAGUCGCGGAUGUACGGAGGAUCCGAGCUGUUAUCCGGGAUUUAUUGGGUUCAGAGGGUGCGUAUGCUGCCUUUUAAGUCAGCGGUGAUAGUCUGUGGCUCAUCCAUGUAAUUGCCGUGGAAAGUGGGAGGCUUGAGUAUGUGUGAGGCAGGCGGAAUGCGUGGUGUAUCGGUUAAAUGCUUAGAUUUCACGCAGAACCCCGAUUGCGAAGGCGGCCUGCCAUGCCUUGACUGACGCUAAUGCACGAAAGCGUGGGGAUCAAACAGGAUGAGAUACCCUGGCUAGUCCACGCAGUAGACGAUGAUCACUAGCUGUUUGCGAUACACUGUAAGCGGUACAUAUAACGCGUUCAGUGAUCCACCUGGGGAGUACGCCGGCGACUGAAAAACUCAGAGGAAUAGACGGGGGCCCGCAUCAAGCGGAGGAACAUGUGGUUUAAUUCGAUGAUCCGCGAGGAGCCUUACCCGGGUUUGAACGCAUCCGGACCGAGGUGGAAACACCUUUUCUAGCAAUAGCCGUGUGCGAGGUGCUGCUUGGUUGUCGUCAGCUCGUGCCGUGAGGUGUCGGCUUAAGUGCCAUAGCGAGCGCAGGGCUUGCCACUAGUUACUAACCGGUAAAGCUGAGGACUCUGGUGGGACUGCCAGCGUAAGCUGCGAUGAAGGCAGGGAUGACGUCGAUUCAGCGCGGCCCUUACAUCCGGGGCGACACACGUGUUACAAUGGCGUGGACNUAUGGAAGCCACCUUGGCGACGUGUAGCGAAUGCCCUGACCCCGUCUCAUUCCGAUCGGAGUCUGCAACCCGA
This 950-nucleotide ribosomal RNA is filed under the name human gut metagenome. RNAcentral describes it as "bacterial SSU rRNA". It matches the Rfam family "Bacterial small subunit ribosomal RNA", at positions 369 to 1315 of the family's 1533-position model. The record is from RNAcentral.